GAAAUGCGAUAAGUAAUGUGAAUUGCAGAAUUCCGUGAAUCAUCGAAUCUUUGAACGCACAUUGCGCCCUCUGGUAUUCCGGGGGGCACGCCUGUCCGAGCGUCAUUGCGAACCCCUCAAGCACGGCUUGUGUGAUGGGCCCUCCCGCGUCUUGGUCGUCAAGACGGGCCCGAAAAGCAGUGGCGGCUUCGCGGUUAUCCGAUCAGUCAGAGCGUAUGGGGACUUUCUCUCUGUCACACGCCCGCGGCGCGGACCGACGCCUGUCGACCUUUAUUCAUCUUUUUCUCGGUUGACCUCGGAUCAGGUAGGGAUACCCGCUGAACUUAAGC
This 329-nucleotide unclassified non-coding RNA is filed under the name plant metagenome. RNAcentral describes it as "partial contains 5.8S ribosomal RNA, internal transcribed spacer 2, and large subunit ribosomal RNA". The stretch from base 1 to 105 matches the Rfam family "5.8S ribosomal RNA", at positions 50 to 154 of the family's 154-position model. The record is from RNAcentral.